RNAcentral lists this unclassified non-coding RNA (933 nucleotides) under Drosophila erecta. Its description in RNAcentral is "GG26762". Lineage: Eukaryota; Metazoa; Arthropoda; Insecta; Diptera; Drosophilidae. The record is from RNAcentral.
GUAGCACAUUCCAUUGCAGACAUCUCCUAGCGUAGUUUAGCUCUAUUGCCCACCUCCCCCCACACUUCCCCAAAAGAAAUGCAUACACAUAUCUCCGUGAGCACACACUAUAUCGCAGAUAUAGCGAUGAAUCGAGUGAGAAAAGAAACGAGAGUACACUUAAAAAGAAUACCCAUACAACUUACUGAAAAUCUUGGAAAGUUGAAGUCCAAACAGGUUAAAUCCGGCCCCGGCAGUCAAAGCGAUGCAAAUGCUAUUCCAGCGAACGCAUUGACCAUAUUAUUGAUAUAAUCGUAUAUGGAAUAUUUUGUAAACUUUUGCUUACGUUCUCCCCCUGCGCCGAAUGUAAAACUGUAAGAAUCGCUUCAGCGCUCAGCCGCCUGCACCUGCUCAGCCGACGCUCCUGCGCUAUCCUGCUAUACCGUAACCGUUAUCGUUACCGUUACCGUUAUCGCUAUAUCAUUAACGCUAUCGCAUCCAGAAAUGCCAGCAGCAGCAACUGCAGCAGCAUCUGCAGCAUCUGCCGCAGCAACAACAUCAGCGUCUAGAACAACAACGAACAACUAGGAAGAUCUAACAGCCCUCUCAAAAUGCUGAGGCUGUGCGGCUCCUGCUUCUGCUCCUAAGUCCCGUUUCCCUGUGCUUCCCGAUUCCGGUGCAUGUGCAAUCAGUUGCUGUAUCCAAUCGAAAUCGAAUAACAAUCGAAAAUCGAUAUUGAGAUCGCGACAGUACCAGAAUCAGAUCGCGUCAAGCGCAAUCUGCCAGCAAAUUCAAAUCCAAGCAAAGCAAAUCAAAGCAAACAAAAAGCAAAAGCAAAGCAAUCCCAAAUCAAAAGCAAACAACCAAAAAAACAAAACAAAUUGCAAAAAAAAGCAAGAAAUAUACACAACGGCGCACGCUUAGCACAUUUGCAUAAAAAUACAACUUACUUGC